Molecule: ribosomal RNA, 273 nt
Filed under: uncultured bacterium
Lineage: Bacteria
Description: partial 16S ribosomal RNA
Rfam family: Bacterial small subunit ribosomal RNA
Source: RNAcentral
AACGUAGGAGCCAAGCGUUAUCCGAAUUUACUGGGCGUAAAGCGCGUGCAGGCGGUUGCGUAAGUGGAUUGUGAAAUCUCCCGGCUCAACUGGGAGGGGCCGGUCCAGACUGCGUGACUGGAGGCAGGUAGAGGGAGGUGGAAUUCCCGGUGUAGUGGUGAAAUGCGUAGAGAUCGGGAGGAACACCAGUGGCGAAAGCGGCCUCCUGGACCUGACCUGACGCUCAGACGCGAAAGCUAGGGGAGCGAACGGGAUUAGAAACCCCCGUAGUCC